This 433-nucleotide ribosomal RNA is filed under the name uncultured bacterium. RNAcentral describes it as "partial 16S ribosomal RNA". It matches the Rfam family "Bacterial small subunit ribosomal RNA", at positions 29 to 507 of the family's 1533-position model. The record is from RNAcentral.
AACGAACGCUGGCGGCAUGCCUAACACAUGCAAGUCGAACGAGACCUUCGGGUCCAGUGGCGCACGGGUGCGUAACGCGUGGGAACCUGCCCUUAGGUUCGGAAUAACUCCCCGAAAGGGGUGCUAAUACCGGAUAAUGUCUUCGGACCAAAGAUUUAUCGCCUUUGGAUGGGCCCGCGUUGGAUUAGCUCGUUGGUAGGGUAAAAGCCUACCAAGGCGACGAUCCAUAGCUGGUCUGAGAGGAUGAUCAGCCACACUGAGACUGAGACACGGCCCAGACUCCUACGGGAGGCAGCAGUGGGGAAUAUUGGACAAUGGGCGAAAGCCUGAUCCAGCAAUGCCGCGUGAGUGAUGAAGGCCUUAGGGUUGUAAAGCUCUUUUACCCGGGAUGAUAAUGACAGUACCGGGAGAAUAAGCUCCGGCUAACUCCGUG